This 497-nucleotide ribosomal RNA is filed under the name uncultured bacterium. RNAcentral's name for it is "partial 16S ribosomal RNA". It matches the Rfam family "Bacterial small subunit ribosomal RNA", at positions 28 to 507 of the family's 1533-position model. The record is from RNAcentral.
GAUGAACGCUGGCGGCGUGCCUAAUACAUGCAAGUCGAGCGAACGGACGAGAAGCUUGCUUCUCUGAUGUUAGCGGCGGACGGGUGAGUAACACGUGGAUAACCUACCUAUAAGACUGGGAUAACUUCGGGAAACCGGAGCUAAUACCGGAUAAUAUUUUGAACCGCAUGGUUCAAAAGUGAAAGACGGUCUUGCUGUCACUUAUAGAUGGAUCCGCGCUGCAUUAGCUAGUUGGUAAGGUAACGGCUUACCAAGGCAACGAUGCAUAGCCGACCUGAGAGGGUGAUCGGCCACACGGGAACUGAGACACGGUCCAGACUCCUACGGGAGGCAGCAGUAGGGAAUCUUCCGCAAUGGGCGAAAGCCUGACGGAGCAACGCGGCGUGAGUGAUGAAGGUCUUCGGAUCGUAAAACUCUGUUAUUAGGGAAGAACAUAUGUGGAAGUAACUGUGCACAUCUUGACGGUACCUAAUCAGAAAGCCACGGCUAACUACGUG